RNAcentral lists this ribosomal RNA (780 nucleotides) under Triticum aestivum (bread wheat). Its description in RNAcentral is "partial small subunit ribosomal RNA". Lineage: Eukaryota; Viridiplantae; Streptophyta; Magnoliopsida; Poales; Poaceae. The record is from RNAcentral.
AUGAAGCAUUUCUUUCCAUUCUUGCAGACAACUGCAAGGAGCGAGGGAUUCAAUGCUGUGCUCAAGAAGUACGUGAACCCCAACAAUUCAUUGAUUGAAUUCGCAACUCAAUAUACUGCAAUUCAGGAGAAAGUAAUGGUGGCUGUGGCGAAAGAGCAAGUGGAUACAAUUUACAAAGAGGCAGACAUGUAUUCGUUGAACCCAAUCGAGUUACAGAUACGAGGGAUAUACACACAAAAUCUGUUCUCCAAGUUCCAGGUAGAGAUGAAGCUAAAGACUGCUUACGGAUGCGACACUUUACAAGAUGGAACCUUCAGGAUGUGGUCGCUCCGAGGCAUACUACCAAAGUAUGAGGAUAGGGACUACCAUGUGCAGGAGAACAAGGAUGAAGGGGUAUACUCAUGCACUUGCUGCAAGUUUGAUCGCGAUGGGCUAUUAUGCGCACACAUACUACGAGUAAUGAAACAGAUUGGAGUCUACGAGAUACCAAGGAGGUAUAUCCUGGAUAGGUGGACAUGGGAUCCAGAAGAGGAUCUUGUUCAGCCUGAUUACCAACAGCCAACAGUUAAGAAGGGUAUGAUAGAGGAAGGAAAAAAUAUCAUGAGAUAUACAUCUAUUCUGAAUGAUUUCAAGGAACAAGCAAAAGAUGCUUGCACUACUGAUGAGGGGAUGGCAUUGGCAAGGAAACAUGUUAAUGCUUUCAGAGACAACAUGGAUGCACUAAAAAAGAGGCAGCUAAAGAAAGCAAGAAAGGAAAAAGAUGAGGGAAAAGAAGCAUAA